Small nucleolar RNA from Lycium ferocissimum, 217 nucleotides. RefSeq annotates it as small nucleolar RNA U3. The record is from RefSeq and is a predicted model, not a curated record. Lineage: Eukaryota; Viridiplantae; Streptophyta; Magnoliopsida; Solanales; Solanaceae. The transcript has a single exon.
ACGACCUUACUUGAACAGGAUCUGUUCUAUAGGCUCGUACCACUGUAUCCUUGAGUUCUAAGGAGACAGGAAAUCAAGUCUGGUUGAUGAAGCAAAGCCAUGUGACCAGAGCGUGAUUAACAGUUUCCAUGAGUCCUCAUUGAGUCGUGGUGCAGUAGAUGAUCGUUCUCGGACCUAUUCUCAGGCCUGAGAUGGUCUCAUGGCUGUCUGACAGACC